AGAGUUUGAUCCUGGCUCAGAUUGAACGCUGGCGGAAUGCUUUACACAUGCAAGUCGAGCGGCAGCGCGGGGGCAACCCUGGCGGCGAGCGGCGAACGGGUGAGUAAUGUACCGGAACGUACCCAGUCGUGGGGGAUAACUAUCCGAAAGGAUAGCUAAUACCGCAUACGUCCUGAGGGAGAAAGCGGGGGACCGUAAGGCCUCGCGCGAUUGGAGCGGCCGAUAUCGGAUUAGCUAGUUGGUGAGGUAAAGGCUCACCAAGGCGACGAUCCGUAGCUGGUCUGAGAGGACGACCAGCCACACUGGAACUGAGACACGGUCCAGACUCCUACGGGAGGCAGCAGUGGGGAAUUUUGGACAAUGGGGGCAACCCUGAUCCAGCCAUUCCGCGUGAGUGAAGAAGGCCUUCGGGUUGUAAAGCUCUUUCAGCAGGAACGAAACGGUGGCUAUUAAUACUAGCUACUAAUGACGGUACCUGAAGAAGAAGCACCGGCUAACUACGUGCCAGCAGCCGCGGUAAUACGUAGGGUGCGAGCGUUAAUCGGAAUUACUGGGCGUAAAGCGUGCGCAGGCGGUUAUGUAAGACAGGUGUGAAAUCCCCGGGCUUAACCUGGGAACUGCAUUUGUGACUGUAUAGCUAGAGUACGGUAGAGGGGGAUGGAAUUCCGCGUGUAGCAGUGAAAUGCGUAGAUAUGCGGAGGAACACCGAUGGCGAAGGCAAUCCCCUGGACCUGUACUGACGCUCAUGCACGAAAGCGUGGGGAGCAAACAGGAUUAGAUACCCUGGUAGUCC
Molecule: ribosomal RNA, 793 nt
Filed under: uncultured bacterium
Lineage: Bacteria
Description: bacterial SSU rRNA
Rfam family: Bacterial small subunit ribosomal RNA
Source: RNAcentral